Molecule: ribosomal RNA, 253 nt
Filed under: uncultured bacterium
Lineage: Bacteria
Description: partial 16S ribosomal RNA
Rfam family: Bacterial small subunit ribosomal RNA
Source: RNAcentral
UACGUAGGGGGCGAGCGUUGUCCGGAUUUAUUGGGCGUAAAGAGCGUGUAGGCGGCCAGGUAGGUCGGUUGUGAAAACUGGAGGCUCAACCUUCAGAGGUCGACCGAAACCAUCUGGCUAGAGUCCGGGAGAGGAGAGUGGAAUUCCUGGUGUAGCGGUGAAAUGCGCAGAUAUCAGGAGGAACACCAAUGGCGAAGGCAGCACUCUGGGACGUGACUGACGCUGAGACGCGAAAGCGUGGGGAGCAAACAGG